AUUGAACGCUGGCGGCAGGCUUAACACAUGCAAGUCGAACGCGUGGCGGACGGGUGAGUAAUACUUGGGGAUCUAGCUUAUGGAGGGGGAUAACUACGGGAAACUGUAGCUAAUACCGCGUACCAUAGGAUGAGCACAAGUGGGAUUAGGUCGUUGGUGAGGUAAAGGCUCACCAAGCAGACGAUCUCUAGCUGGUCUGAGGGGAUGCUCAGCCACACGGGGACUGAGACACGGCCCAGACUCCUACGGGAGGCAGCAGGGGGUAAGAUUGCACAAUGGGCGCAAGCCUGAUGCAGCCAUGCCGCGUGUAUGAAGAAGGCCGUAGGGUUGUAAAGUACUUUCAGUCGGGAGGCGUUACCGACAGAAGAAGCACCGGCUAACUCCGUGCCAGCAGCCGCGGUAAUUC
RNAcentral lists this ribosomal RNA (406 nucleotides) under uncultured bacterium. RNAcentral describes it as "partial 16S ribosomal RNA". It matches the Rfam family "Bacterial small subunit ribosomal RNA", at positions 30 to 526 of the family's 1533-position model. The record is from RNAcentral.